AGAGCGAACGCUGGCGGCAGGCCUAACACAUGCAAGUCGAGCGCCCCGCAAGGGGAGCGGCAGACGGGGGAGUAACACGUGGGAACGUACCCUUUGGUUCGGAACAACCCAGGGAAACUUGGGCUAAUACCGAAUAAGCCCUUACGGGGAAAGAUUUAUCGCCGAAGGAUCGGCCCGCGUCUGAUUAGCUAGUUGGUGAGGUAAAGGCCUACAAGGCGACGAUCCAUAGCUGGUCUGAGAGGAUGAUCAGCCACACUGGGACUGAGACACGGCCCAGACUCCUACGGGAGGCAGCAGUGGGGAAUAUUGGACAAUGGGCGCAAGCCUGAUCCAGCCAUGCCGCGUGAGUGAUGAAGGCCCUAGGGUUGUAAAGCUCUUUCAACGGUGAAGAUAAUGACGGUAACCGUAGAAGAAGCCCGGCUAACUUCGCGCCAGCAGCCGC
This 442-nucleotide ribosomal RNA is filed under the name uncultured bacterium. Its description in RNAcentral is "SSU rRNA". It matches the Rfam family "Bacterial small subunit ribosomal RNA", at positions 26 to 518 of the family's 1533-position model. The record is from RNAcentral.